CGGCAAUGGAGGAAACUCUGACCGAGCAACGCCGCGUGAACGAUGAAGUAUUUCGGUACGUAAAGUUCUUUUAUUAGGGAAGAAUAAAUGAUGGAAAAAUCAUUCUGACGGUACCUAAUGAAUAAGCCCCGGCUAAUUAUGUGCCAGCAGCCGCGGUAAUACAUAGGGGGCAAGCGUUAUCCGGAAUUAUUGGGCGUAAAGGGUGCGUAGGCUGUUAAAUAAGUUUAUGGUCUAAGUGCAAUGCUCAACAUUGUGAUGCUAUAAAAACUGUUUAGCUAGAGUAAGAUAGAGGCAAGUGGAAUUCCAUGUGUAGUGGUAAAAUGCGUAAAUAUAUGGAGGAACACCAGUAGCGAAGGCGGCUUGCUGGGUCUUUACUGACGCUGAGGCACGAAAGCGUGGGGAGCAAACAGGAUUAGAUACCCUGGUAGUCCACGCCGUAAACGAUGAGUACUAAACGUUGGGUAAAACCAGUGUUGAAGUUAACACAUUAAGUACUCCGCCUGAGUAGUACGUACGCAAGUAUGAAACUUAAAGGAAUUGACGGGACUCCGCACAAGCGGUGGAUCAUGUUGUUUAAUUCGAAGGUACCCGAAAAACCUCACCAGGUCUUGACAUGCUUCUGCAAAGCUGUAGAAACACAGUGGAGGUUAUCAGUUGCACAGGUGGUGCAUGGUUGUCGUCAGCUCGUGUCGUGAGAUGUUGGGUUAAGUCCCGCAACGAGCGCAACCCUUAUUGUUAGUUGCCAGCACGUAAUGGUGGGGACUUUAGCAAGACUGCCAAUGAUAAAUUGGAGGAAGGUGGGGACGACGUCAAAUCAGCAUGCCCCUUAUGACCUGGGCUACAAACGUGAUACAAUGGCUGUUACAAAGAGUAGCUGAA
Molecule: ribosomal RNA, 879 nt
Filed under: Peruvian carrot phytoplasma
Lineage: Bacteria; Bacillati; Mycoplasmatota; Mollicutes; Acholeplasmatales; Acholeplasmataceae
Description: bacterial SSU rRNA
Rfam family: Bacterial small subunit ribosomal RNA
Source: RNAcentral